Molecule: ribosomal RNA, 381 nt
Filed under: uncultured Halobacteria archaeon
Lineage: Archaea; Methanobacteriati; Methanobacteriota; Halobacteria
Description: bacterial SSU rRNA
Rfam family: Archaeal small subunit ribosomal RNA
Source: RNAcentral
UAACACCAGCGCCACAAGUGGCAACCGUAGUUAUUGGGCCUAAAGCGUCCGUAGCCGGUUCUGUAAAUCUUCUGUGAAAUCGUCAAGCUCAACUUGACGGAGUGCAGAAGAGACUACAGGACUUGGGACCGGAAGGAGUCAGAAGUAUUUCUGGGGGAGCGGUAAAAUGUUAUAAUCCCAGAAGGACUACCUGUGGCGAAGGCGUCUGACUAGUACGGAUUCGACGGUGAGGGACGAAAGCUAGGGGAGCAAUCCGGAUUAGAUACCCGAGUAGUCCUAGCUGUAAACGCUGCGAGCAAGGUGUCACACAUUUUUCGUGAAUGUGUUGUGUCGAAACGAAGGUGAUAAGCUCGCCGCCUGGGGAGUAUGGUCGCAAGACUG